AGAACGCUGGCGGCGUGCCUAAUACAUGCAAGUCGAACGAGUUCUUGUUGAUGAUCGGUGCUUGCACCAAGAUUCAACAUGGAACGAGUGGCGGACGGGUGAGUAACACGUGGGUAACCUGCCCUUAAGUGGGGGAUAACAUUUGGAAACAGAUGCUAAUACCGCAUAGAUCCAAGAACCGCAUGGUUCUUGGCUGAAAGAUGGCGUAAGCUAUCGCUUUUGGAUGGACCCGCGGCGUAUUAGCUAGUUGGUGAGGUAAUGGCUCACCAAGGCGAUGAUACGUAGCCGAACUGAGAGGUUGAUCGGCCACAUUGGGACUGAGACACGGCCCAAACUCCUACGGGAGGCAGCAGUAGGGAAUCUUCCACAAUGGACGCAAGUCUGAUGGAGCAACGCCGCGUGAGUGAAGAAGGCUUUCGGGUCGUAAAACUCUGUUGUUGGAGAAGAAUGGUCGGCAGAGUAACUGUUGUCGGCGUGACGGUAUCCAACCAGAAAGCCACGGCUAACUACGUGCCAGCAGCCGCGGUAAUACGUAGGUGGCAAGCGUUAUCCGGAUUUAUUGGGCGUAAAGCGAGCGCAGGCGGUUUUUUAAGUCUGAUGUGAAAGCCCUCGGCUUAACCGAGGAAGCGCAUCGGAAACUGGGAAACUUGAGUGCAGAAGAGGACAGUGGAACUCCAUGUGUAGCGGUGAAAUGCGUAGAUAUAUGGAAGAACACCAGUGGCGAAGGCGGCUGUCUGGUCUGUAACUGACGCUGAGGCUCGAAAGCAUGGGUAGCGAACAGGAUUAGAUACCCUGGUAGUCCAUGCCGUAAACGAUGAAUGCUAGGUGUUGGAGGGUUUCCGCCCUUCAGUGCCGCAGCUAACGCAUUAAGCAUUCCGCCUGGGGAGUACGACCGCAAGGUUGAAACUCAAAGGAAUUGACGGGGGCCCGCACAAGCGGUGGAGCAUGUGGUUUAAUUCGAAGCAACGCGAAGAACCUUACCAGGUCUUGACAUCUUUUGAUCACCUGAGAGAUCAGGUUUCCCCUUCGGGGGCAAAAUGACAGGUGGUGCAUGGUUGUCGUCAGCUCGUGUCGUGAGAUGUUGGGUUAAGUCCCGCAACGAGCGCAACCCUUAUGACUAGUUGCCAGCAUUUAGUUGGGCACUCUAGUAAGACUGCCGGUGACAAACCGGAGGAAGGUGGGGAUGACGUCAAAUCAUCAUGCCCCUUAUGACCUGGGCUACACACGUGCUACAAUGGAUGGUACAACGAGUUGCGAGACCGCGAGGUCAAGCUAAUCUCUUAAAGCCAUUCUCAGUUCGGACUGUAGGCUGCAACUCGCCUACACGAAGUCGGAAUCGCUAGUAAUCGCGGAUCAGCACGCCGCGGUGAAUACGUUCCCGGGCCUUGUACACACCGCCCGUCACACCAUGAGAGUUUGUAACACCCGAAGCCGGUGGCGUAACCCUUUUAGGGAGCGAGCCGUCUAAGGUGGGACAAAUGAUUAGGGUG
This 1490-nucleotide ribosomal RNA is filed under the name Lacticaseibacillus paracasei. RNAcentral's name for it is "bacterial SSU rRNA". It matches the Rfam family "Bacterial small subunit ribosomal RNA". Lineage: Bacteria; Bacillati; Bacillota; Bacilli; Lactobacillales; Lactobacillaceae. The record is from RNAcentral.